Globicephala melas (long-finned pilot whale) is the source of this 3431-nucleotide long non-coding RNA. RefSeq lists it as uncharacterized. The record is from RefSeq and is a predicted model, not a curated record. Lineage: Eukaryota; Metazoa; Chordata; Mammalia; Artiodactyla; Delphinidae.
CACCCCCAUGGCCUACCUGGAAACCUAGCAUCCCUUCACUACCCUCUGCACCCCCACCCUGCAGUGCCCCACCCCAAACCAGACGGGGCUCCUCCCCCCACCACACACUGGUCCAGGGAGCGCCACAUGAACUGGCUGGGCUGGAAGGAGGCUGGUGAAAUGCCAACUUCCCGGCUUGCCCGGGCACUUUCGCAGGCAAGGAAAGAGGAUCCCAACGCUCCAAAUCAAAGCAGCUUUCAGGACAGAGAACGCGGCCCUGUGUGGUCAGCAUUUCUGAACUACGCUGCCUUUUCAACCUGCCAGGGGUCCGAGAGAAGCAGCCUGCCCCACGAACAGCCACGUGCCCUCACCGCUCCCGCUUUACAGUGUGGGCUCUGGGUUCCAACCGCUUCAGCGGGGCUCCAGCCUGAGCGCGGGGGCAGCAUCAGGCCAGACCCAGGGCGAGGCUCCUUGAAAUUCACAGACGGAGGAAGGAGAGGCAGCUGGAUCAAGGACCUGGCUUAUCCUGUGAAGAAAGGAUGGGGAGGGGACGCCGGCAAUAGAGAGACGUGAGUAGGAGACCUCAGCUGGACUGGAUUCAAACGAAACCAACUUGACAACAUGCACGUGGCAACCGAGAAAUCUGAUGAUGGUAACACGGGCCACUUUGUUUCUUACGUAUUAGUUACUAUUGUAGUUAUGUUAGAUUUUCUUAAAGAGCAUUUUCAGAGACUUGUGAAGUAUUUAUCUAUAAAUGACAGGACAUCUGGGAUUUGCUUCCAAAUAAUCCAGGGGUGGGGAAGGGUCUGUGGGGUGUGAACACCUCAACAUGAGUCUGGUGAGAGCUCACCGCUGAGGCUGGGGUCGGGGUGGGGGCAUGUGGGUUUUAUUUUUUAUUUUUUUGCGGUACAAGGGCCUCUCACUGUUGUGGCCUCUCCCGUUGCGGAGCACAGGCUCUGCGGCACAUGGGAUCUUCCCGGACCGGGGCACGAACCCGUGUCCCCUGCAUCGGCAGGCGGACUCUCAACCACUGCGCCACCAGGGAAGCCCUGUUGUUUUUUAAAGUAACAGCUUUGUUGAGAUAUAGUGGUUAUCAGGUUACAGAGCUGUGCAACUAUCACCAAGACCUAGAAUUCUACUUUUUAUCUGCUUGAAAUGCUCCACAGUUCUCCUUGCUUCAUGGCUAGGGUGCCAGAGGCGUUGAUGUCUGAAUGAACUGCCCAGGGCAUCUGUCCUGUCCCCUGGCUGGGGCAGCAGGAGCCCUGGGGCAGCUUCCACCUGUCCUGGGACAUCAAAAGGCCCAGGAUGGUACUCUCACCAGCUCCUGCCCUAGCCUGCCUGUCUGAGGGCCUGCAGCCCAUAGAACCAGGGUCUCCCAGGCCCUUCUGGGUUUGCUGGACAAUAGGCCAGUGUCCAAAACCCCAGGGCUCUGACUCAAGGGGCACCUCUAGGGAGACCAGCCAGUCCUACUGGGAAAUCUUAUUCCUAGGGGGUUUGUAGCACCAGAUGCUUGCUGGGAAGGGGCAGCCCUGUGGGAUCCACAGUGACCUGGAUCCAGGACCUCAACACUGACCACCCCUAGAUGUGCAGGCCCUGCUCUCGCCCCAGCCAUCUGUCCACAGGCCAUCCCAGUGUAUCCAGGCAGGGCUGCAGCUUCUCCCCUCCUCUGGGCCCUACUCCUCCAUAAACCCAAGAGCCCUCCUUGGAGGGUGCAGAGGAUGGUCUUGUAGCCUGAGACAGCGAGGCAGACUAGUUAGUGGCCUGGACACAGAAACCAGACCCAGCACUUCACCGUCCUUUAUUAACACCCCUGUAGGGCGACGUGGAAGUGCUGGCCACUUGCUGGGGGGGCGGGGGGUGUGGCACAGUGGCCAGGUGACUGGGGGAGGUGGACAGAUGCAGCUCCCAGCCCAUCUGCAGGCUGCUGUGGCAGUGGAACCUGGGCAGUGGCGUUUUGGCUGACCAGCUGCUGGGGACCUUGCAAGUGACCGCUGUGUAGACAGGAGCCCCUGUGGACAUGCCACUCCUGCUCAGGGAGCCAGGAGGGGACACUGCACGCUCCAUGAAGACAGCAGCCGCCUGCUGGCACUGAGAGGUUUUGGUGAAACUGAUUGUUAAAGCAAUUGGGGAUGCGCUGGACCGGGGGGGCAGGGGUGUGGGGCACCUGUGGGUCACACCCAGACCCUCCCUCCUGGGUACUCAUUCUGCCCUGGCCCGGCAGCUGUGGGUGCGCAGCUACCUUUGAGAACAUCAUAAAAGCUAUGGUCCCUCUCCUGGGAUGAAAGUGCAGGUGCACGGGUCAUUUGGUGAGCGAUGCCGGGGGUCCACACCCCCACUCUAUCACCCAGGUCCUCGGUGGAAGCUGCUGGAAGACAGUGCUGGGGGCCCUGGGCUUAGUGAAAGGAAGAGACUACAGGGGCUGGAGACUCCAGACUGCAGAAAGCCUGGACAGCCUGCCCCUCCCAACUCCAGGGUUAACUGCCUACUUGGGGAGAGAGAAAACUGAACCUGGGGCUUAGACACCUUCCUCUGAGGGAGUCACUGGUGUGCAGAGGAGGCCGCUGGACAUCAGGUGGGGAGAGCCUGGGGUGGGCAGCAGGGGGUGGAGGUGUGGGCAGCAGCUCAGGAGGGGACGAUGGUUACUGGGCUGGCCAGGCAGGCUGGGGCGGGGGUCCUGAGCCAGGGAGGAGGGGGUCGGAGCACGGCGGGCAGGUGCUGGGCUCAGGGCAGCGCUCAGCUGCUGACCCUCCAGGACUCUGGAAAAUACUGGGGCAGGGGGCUGGGCAUGACCCAUCUGCUCCCACGGCCACAUCAGGACGGCACUUUGAUGCCGAAGUGUUUGCGAAGCUGCUCCAGAAACACAAACGUGAGUACGGUGUGGGGCAUGAGGCGGAUGCCGGCAGGCACGAGGCCCUGAGGGAGAGAGGAGGGGGGAUGUGAAGAUAGCCCUGGAGGGAACCCCCCUGCCCUGCCCCCCUGCCCCAGCCACGCCCCUGCUUAACCUUGUAAAAGGCCAGCGGCCCAAGCUUCGCUGUCUCCAUGGCACAGUGCAGAACACCCUGCAAAAAAUGCAAGAUAAUGCAAUAAGAUGGAAAGCUGCUUCUUGAAAGGCACGAACGCCCACCCCCCACCCCCGCACCUGAUGGCAGGCAUGAGUGUGCAAAGCAGCCUGCAAGUUCAAAGGGAACACAGGUUCGAGCCCUGGUCUGGGAAGAUCCCACGUGCUGCAGAGGAACUAAGUCCGUGCGCCACAACUACUGAGCCUGCGCUCUAGAGCCCACGUGCCAACUCCUGAAGCCUGCACGCCUAGAGCCCGUGCUCUGCAAGAAGAGAAGCCACCGCAGUGAGAAGCCCGCGCACCGGAACGAAAAGUAGCCCCCGGCUCGCCACAACUAGAGAAAGCCCGCGCGCAGCAACGAUGGACCCAACACAGCCAAAGAUAAAUAAAUAAA